CUUUGGCGCUGAAGUGAAUAAAUCGCGAGGAAAGAUGAAAGUGUUUCUACAUUACGGACCCUUUCAGGGAUGAAAUGGCGCUGCCCGCGCGGAGCAAGCUGUGCUUCCAUUGAUUCGUGGUCUAAAGGCUGCUGGAGUUGAUGUGGCACCUAUGCAAGGCAAGAGGCGCUAUGCUUGCGAGCUGGUCAUGGACAAGAAAGUUGUUUGGAAAUGUACCACUGAAGAACUACUUGCAUUGGCUGAAAAGGGAUCUUCACUCGUCAGCGAAGCCAUAAAAGCCUGUAAAUCUGAGUAGAAACUGCAACCCUUCUUACAGACAAUAUGUUGACAUUCCCUGAACUUUGCAGUUUCAUUUGAUAUACAUCGUGGACUUCCUACAUUUUACAUUCAGAAGCUUACAGUACUAAAGAACCUUAAAUUCCUUAAGGUGUACCAUACUAUGUAUCUUUCGGUACAAUUCCAUUGUACAGUUGAAACUUGGUAUCGUUACCUUAGUGCAAAAAGUGUAUAAGUCCUUCUUUAAAUCAAUGCAUUUAUCCAUUUCUUGCAUUGAGGUGACGGUACAUCGAAGUCUACGGGAACGAGCGCUUUACUUCGAAAUAUAACAUUCGACCUAAAAUGUUUUCUCGGGACGGGACUGGGAAAUGUCUUAGAGAUAGCCGGAAUUUUUAACUGUUGAAGUCAAAUCAUCAUCUAGACUACACUAGGCAUGUAUAAUGGUUAUUUCCUUUUUAAUAUCUAUCGUUUAUAGACAAAGUAAAUGUAUUGAUGAUUUAUAAUGUAGUCUGAUCAAAUGUACUAAAACACACAAACACGUUAUUGUUUGCGUUGAACUUGUUUUAGAAUUAACAUCUACUGGAAAAGCUGUGAGAAAUAAAUUGUUUCGUUUGUUUGUUUUGGGUUUAACGCCGUCUUUUAACAGAAAAACAGUUGUAUAAAUAUCUAGUAAAAAGAUAUUUGAAACCAUCUAUAGGUUAUAUGUACCCAAUUUAAGCAUAGAAAUUAGAAAUUUACCAUGUACAUGAAGAAAGAAUUGGAAUUCAAAUAAGUUUCUAUUAGAGUUUUAAUCCCUUGUUUUAUUGAAACAUGUUUGUUGUUCUUUUUUGAUUGAUAAGGAAAAGACUAAUUUAUGCAUCAAAACGAUGUUUAAAGAAUGGAAAAGGAAGAAAUACAAAAAAGAGGAUUGUGGUUUGAACCCAAGACGGAAAAAUAACUGACACUACUAGUACGGAGUCCUAACCACUUUCGCUAAACUUGGUUCAUAAAUAUGUUUAAUGUAUUAUGUUAAUAACAAUUCGGGAGUAUUCCAGUGAUUUUCAAUAAUGAAUGGUAUACGUUAAGUGAUUCAUGUUAUAAGUUUUCAGCACAUACUUUAUUUUUUAGCGAAAAUGUAACCAGAUCUUCUGUUUCUGUUAAUGUCGAUUAGUUUAAUUACAGUAUUUUAUGCUAAUACAUGUAUAUGAUAAUGCGUAUUAUACAAUACUGACAUCGGACAGAAAUGAAGUGGUUGUCUAAAAAUGAGGGACAAACACUGAAAACGUCGUAGACUCAGUUUUGUACAGUAUGUGUUCAUACAAUU
Mercenaria mercenaria is the source of this 1579-nucleotide long non-coding RNA. RefSeq lists it as uncharacterized. The transcript is spliced from 4 exons. The record is from RefSeq and is a predicted model, not a curated record. Lineage: Eukaryota; Metazoa; Mollusca; Bivalvia; Venerida; Veneridae.